This 385-nucleotide RNase P RNA is filed under the name Gallibacterium salpingitidis. RNAcentral describes it as "bacterial RNase P". It matches the Rfam family "Bacterial RNase P class A". Rfam says of the family: Ribonuclease P (RNase P) is a ubiquitous endoribonuclease, found in archaea, bacteria and eukarya as well as chloroplasts and mitochondria. The record is from RNAcentral. Lineage: Bacteria; Pseudomonadati; Pseudomonadota; Gammaproteobacteria; Pasteurellales; Pasteurellaceae.
CGAGUUAGCUAGGCAAUCGCUGGUUUAUUGAAGCCCUCAACCGUACAAACGACCUAGGGGACAAGUGAACGAGAGGAAAGUCCGAGCUACACAGGGCAGGGUGCUGGAUAACGUCCAGGAGGCGCGAGCCUACGACCAGUGCAACAGAGAGCAGACCGCCGAUGGCUCAUUUGAGAUCAGGUAAGGGUGAAAGGGUGCGGUAAGAGCGCACCGCGUGAUUGGUAACAAUUCAUGGCAUGGUAAACUCCACCCGUAGCAAGACCAAAUAGGAAUCCAAUGUGUGGCCCGCGCAGGAUUCGGGUAGGUUGCUUGAGCAUUUGUGUAAAUAAAUGCCUAGAUGAAUGAUUGUCCACGACAGAACUCGGCUUAUCGGCUAACUCAUUUU